UGGGCAACCUGCCCCAGACUCUGGGAUAACUCCGGGAAACCGGGGCUAAUACCGGAUACUCUCGGCCGGCCGCAUGAUCGGCCGAGGAAAGCUCCGACGGUCUGGGAUGGGCCCGCGGCCUAUCAGCUUGUUGGUGAGGUAACGGCCCACCAAGGCGACGACGGGUAGCUGGUCUGAGAGGACGGCCAGCCACACUGGGACUGAGAUACGGCCCAGACUCCUACGGGAG
Molecule: ribosomal RNA, 229 nt
Filed under: uncultured bacterium
Lineage: Bacteria
Description: partial 16S ribosomal RNA
Rfam family: Bacterial small subunit ribosomal RNA
Source: RNAcentral